AUGCCGCCUAAAUCGGACAGCGUCGAAGGAAUCGUCCUCAACUUCGUCAACGAGCAAAAUAGGCCAUUGAAUUCUCAGAAUGUGGCUGAUGCACUACAGAAGUUUAGUCUUAAGAAGACUGCAGUGCAAAAAGGACUGGAUGCAUUGGCUGACAGUGGUCAAAUAUCCUUCAAGGAGUAUGGCAAGCAGAAAAUCUACCUUGCUCGGCAAGACCAGUUCGACAUUCCAAAUGGGGAGGAACUUGAGGAGAUGAAGAAAGCAAAUAGCAAACUACAGGAAGAACUCGCAGAACAAAAGAAAAUUACUAGUGAGGUCGAAUCUGAGAUAAAGGGUCUACAGUCAAACUUGACACUGGAAGAGAUUAGGUCAAAGGAGGCCAGAUUACAAAGUGAGGUCCAGGAAAUGGAAGAAAAAUUAAAGAAAUUGCAGAGUGGUGUGAUCUUGGUGAAACCUGAAGACAAGAAGAUAAUUGAGGAGACCUUCUCUGAGAAAGCUAACCAGUGGAGAAAGCGAAAGAGGAUGUUCAAGGAGCUAUGGGAUAACAUCACUGAGAAUAGCCCCAAAGACCAGAAGGAAUUUAAGGAAGAACUUGGUCUUGAGUAUGAUGAAGAUGUCGAUGUGAACUUCCAACCGUACAGUGAAAUGCUGGCGAGUCUCAACAAAAGGAGAAAAGUUUCUCGCUGA
RNAcentral lists this ribosomal RNA (684 nucleotides) under Triticum aestivum (bread wheat). RNAcentral's name for it is "partial small subunit ribosomal RNA". The record is from RNAcentral. Lineage: Eukaryota; Viridiplantae; Streptophyta; Magnoliopsida; Poales; Poaceae.